Long non-coding RNA from Herpailurus yagouaroundi (jaguarundi), 1364 nucleotides. RefSeq lists it as uncharacterized. The transcript is spliced from 4 exons. Lineage: Eukaryota; Metazoa; Chordata; Mammalia; Carnivora; Felidae. The record is from RefSeq and is a predicted model, not a curated record.
AAAGUGGGGUGCUUAACCGACUGAACCACCCCUUAAUUGGAUUUACAUUUUCAGGCCAACCUGGCUGCAGGAGGAAGGAUUGGAGCCUGAGGAAACUCUGGGGCAGGAAGGCCUGGAGAGAGGCCAUCGCGCUGGAGUUGGUCCUCGAGCCCCAGUCUGGAGAGGAGGUGACGGGGAGAAGGAGAAAUGGAGCAGCCAACAGAGAAGACAGUGAAGGAUACCAAGAAACCUGACCGAAACUCUGUAACUGAACACACCCUGGGGAAUUCUUUUGCAAAUACUACUGGGUUUGGGUGGGUUUCCAUCACUGGCUUUGCCUGGACACAUCAGAUUCACCUUGAAGGAAUUCACUAAAAGAAACCACCUGGUGCUAUGAAGUUGUGUCUGAAACCACCAUGACUUGUUUCAGUUGAUCAGCAGAUCACAAUAAAGUCAGAGACGGUCACGGUCUGGAGGCGGAGACAUUGUUCUUUAUUCCAUUUCAUUUCCUUUUUGCGAGAAAUCUGUUUCUACAAAAGAACACUGUCCUGAUUGACUUAAUAGAAAGUGGAGUUUUAAAAGUUUAUAAUGGCACAAUCAGAUCCAUAAUCGCUGAUUAACAUGAGAUUUGUGAAGACACAUGGUAAGUAAACAACUCCUUUAAGUUUUUAAAGCAUUACGUAUGACUGUAUUUUUUAAUGGCCCCUUUUAGCAUGUGAUGACCAUACCUGGUCCCCAACUUAUAUUGGACCACCCAGGAUAAAGGGGCUUAAAGUGAAUGAAGGAUCCAUAAAAGACAUACAGACGCAGGGAAUAGGGAUCACACCAAGUACUUAAACACCUAGCACAGGAGAGACUAUUUUAUCCAUUCUGGAAGAUUAUAUCAUAAAGGAGUAUUCUUCAAACAGCUAAAAAGACACAAAAACAGUAGUGCUGUUUCUGUAAAUACAAUCUUGCACAAGCCACUACAUGUCAGAUUGAUGAACCUCCUCCAGUUGAUACUGGCAUGGGCCCCGGGUCUAGCACUCCCACUCACCAUUCCUCCGAGGCCCCUACUUGGAACCCUGGCACUCUAAAGGAAACAGUUUGGAAACCUCUGGAAGCAUUGGCUCAGCUGUUCUCCAUAUACAUUCAAGACAGUCCAAGAGUAAAUGGAUUUGAGAUAUGGGAGUAGGAAUGUCGGAUAAAAUAAAGGACUUUUAAAACAUUGCACAGAAGCCCCCGAACAAGAUUCCAGUGGCUCCUAAUUGUUGAUAAAAGGAAAUACAAAAGCACCUCCUUUAAGGCCACCCAGAACUGAGCAUUCUGCCUAACCCGGGAACCCUGAGGUCAUGAUCUGGCCUCAGUCUUUCUCUCCAACCUAACCUUCCACUGCUGGUCCGUCU